CAAAGAUGAAAAAACGACUUUAAGAUUACAUAAUUGUAUUUUGUAAUUGUAAUAUGGAUCUAAAACAGUUACUAGACUUGAGAGUUGUUGGUUCUCCGUUUAUACUAGCUUGAAGUACAGAUACACCUCCAUUAGGAUGAAGGCGAAAAGAAUUUGGCCCAAAAACAAGAUAAUCUGGCAAGCAGAUAUGCCUACAUUGCGGAGGUUUCACCAUUUCCAAGAGACGAUCCUUCUGUAACUUGCUGUACGAAGCAGAGAUCACAUGU
Molecule: long non-coding RNA, 266 nt
Filed under: Daucus carota (carrot)
Lineage: Eukaryota; Viridiplantae; Streptophyta; Magnoliopsida; Apiales; Apiaceae
Description: long non-coding RNA (DCAR_LNC003374)
Source: RNAcentral